This 417-nucleotide ribosomal RNA is filed under the name uncultured bacterium. RNAcentral describes it as "bacterial SSU rRNA". It matches the Rfam family "Bacterial small subunit ribosomal RNA", at positions 954 to 1370 of the family's 1533-position model. The record is from RNAcentral.
GCAUAACGCGAAGAACCUUACCAGGCCUUGACAUCCAAUGAACUUUCCAGAGAUGGAUUGGUGCCUUCGGGAACAUUGAGACAGGUGCUGCAUGGCUGUCGUCAGCUCGUGUCGUGAGAUGUUGGGUUAAGUCCCGUAACGAGCGCAACCCUUGUCCUUAGUUACCAGCACGUAAUGGUGGGCACUCUAAGGAGACUGCCGGUGACAAACCGGAGGAAGGUGGGGAUGACGUCAAGUCAUCAUGGUCCUUAGGCCUGGGCUACACACGUGCUACAAUGGUCGGUACAGAGGGUUGCCAAGCCGCGAGGUGGAGCUAAGUCUCACAAAACCGAUCGUAGUCCGGAUCGCAGUCUGCAACUCGACUGCGUGAAGUCGGAAUCGCUAGUAAUCGCGAAUCAGAAUGUCGCGGUGAAUACG